GACGAACGCUGGCGGCGUGCUUAACACAUGCAAGUCGAACGGAAAGGCCCUGCUUUUGUGGGGUGCUCGAGUGGCGAACGGGUGAGUAACACGUGAGUAACCUGCCCUUGACUUUGGGAUAACUUCAGGAAACUGGGGCUAAUACCGGAUAGGAGCUCCUGCUGCAUGUUGGGGGUUGGAAAGUUUCGGCGGUUGGGGAUGGAAUCGCGGCUUAUCAGCUUGUUGGUGGGGUAGGGGCUUACCAAGGCUUUGACGGGUAGCCGGCCUGAGAGGGUGACCGGCCACAUUGGGACUGAGAUACGGCCCAGACUCCUACGGGAGGCAGCAGUGGGGAAUAUUGCACAAUGGGCGGAAGCCUGAUGCAGCAACGCCGCGUGCGGGAUGACGGCCUUCGGGUUGUAAACCGCUUUCGCCUGUGACGAAGCGUGAGUGACGGUAAUGGGUAAAGAAGCACCGGCUAACUACGUG
RNAcentral lists this ribosomal RNA (468 nucleotides) under uncultured bacterium. RNAcentral describes it as "partial 16S ribosomal RNA". It matches the Rfam family "Bacterial small subunit ribosomal RNA", at positions 28 to 507 of the family's 1533-position model. The record is from RNAcentral.